Molecule: non-coding RNA, 678 nt
Organism: Erinaceus europaeus (western European hedgehog)
Lineage: Eukaryota; Metazoa; Chordata; Mammalia; Eulipotyphla; Erinaceidae
Source: the annotation of a RefSeq genome assembly
CUGCCUACCUAGUGGAACUGAAGACUGGCUUGAACCAUGCUCUGCUGUGGCCUUGUCCUACUCCUGGGCACUUUCUUAGGUGUCAGGGCUCAGAGCAUCCAUCAAUGGCCACCGACCCAGGUGCAACCUGUGGGGAGCCCCCUCUCCCUGGAAUGCACCUUGAAGGGGACAUCUAACCCCAAUCUCUACUGGUACCGCCAGCCUAUAGGGGGCGUCCUCCAGCUGCUCUUCUAUUCCCUUGGGGUAAAUCAGACUGAAUCUGAGGCUCCCCAACACUUCUCUGCAUCCAGACCCCAGGACGGCCAGUUCAUACUGGCUUCCCAGAAGCUGCUUCUCAGUGACUCCGGUGCCUACUUCUGUGCCUGGAGUCUCACACUGCAUCGGGCAGGGCAGACGGCUGGGCCCUCACCCAGGGGCUGGGUGGAGGACAUUCCUGUCCAUCAUCAGUCAGGGCAGAAACAGCUGAAUCACACUGGAUUCUCUAAGAAGAGCUUGAAUGGUUCUCGGGGAGAAUCAGAGUCUCCCAAUGUGGCUGUAUUUGAACCCUUUGAAGCAGAGAUCAACUACACCCAGAAGGCCACCCUCAUCUGCCUGGCUAGGGACACCACCAUGUGGAGCUCACCUGAUCCAGGGUUUGGGAAGAGGUUUAAUCUGCAGGGUAGCAGAAAGAAGAAAUAG